GCUACAGAUCCCUGGAGGUCAAGGGCUGCGAGGGACUGGAGUUGCCAUCAGAGACCCACUGAUCUUGCUCUUGGCUGUAUUGUGGGGAAGAACACGUCUGUGUCACUGUUUCCAAAGGAAACUCAGCUAGAUUCAAGCUCACGCAGGAAGAGCGCUGAGUGAGAGGCAGCCGGCCACAGGCCCCGUGCUACUUGCAGCAUUUUUACUCGCCUCGUUUCCUCAUCACGGCAAUUUGACGAGGUUGCUUCGGUUCACAUUGUCUAUGGUGAGUGACUGAGAUGACGUCCCUGAGGCCGCCCAGCUGGAAACAGCCACGAGUCAAGCCCAGGCCUGGUUCCAAGUUCAGUUCUUCCUCAUGUGGAAAGAACCGUUUCCCCCCAGCUGCUGGGGCACCCGCCCUCUGCUUCUUCACUUGGUGGUGUUUUUAUUUAUGAACAGCCUUAAAGCCUUUUAUAUAUAAAUCACACGAAAAUGAAAUGUUCCCUCAAGAAACAGGUGACCUGGCUGAGUCCACGACGCAACUGGCACGUUCACCUGCAGACCCUGCUGACAGACGCCCGGGGUCUCAGAUCCACACCAGCGACGCCGUCCAGUCGUGUAACCCAGAGUCUGCAGCAGGUCUGCCCAACCCCCGUGGGUCCCUCAGCGGCCUGGGGAGACGGAAGGACUGCAGGGUUUCCAGCCUCUCUUUAGAACACAUUCUUGGCUAAAGAGUUGAGACCAACAAGAGGAGGAUUGUGACCCACAAGCUCUCAGAGUUAGACUUCUGCUUCUCAAAAUCCAACCAUUCCUUCAAGCCUUCCAGCCUACCAACACCACUCCAGCUUCCUCUCAUGUACUGUGUUUUCUCACAGCAUUUUUAAAACUCAGUUUUAUAGAGGCCUAGAUUACAUAGAAUAAAAUGUACCAAUUUUAAGUAUAAAAUUUGGUACGUGACACAAACGUAAAGCUGUGUGGCCAACACCUCAAUCAAGACGUAAAACACUUUCUCCACCCAAAUCACUUCAUCAAGCCCUUUAGCCAUCAACCAUCCCCCUCCACUUGGCCC
Molecule: long non-coding RNA, 1048 nt
Filed under: Equus caballus (horse)
Lineage: Eukaryota; Metazoa; Chordata; Mammalia; Perissodactyla; Equidae
Description: lncRNA (ENSECAG00000048163.1)
Source: RNAcentral